UACCGGGGCUAAACAUAUUACCGAAACUGUGGAUGAACCUCUUUAGAGGUUCGUGGUAGGAGAGCGUUCUAAGGGCGGUGAAGUCAGACCGGAAGGACUGGUGGAGCGCUUAGAAGUGAGAAUGCCGGUAUGAGUAGCGAAAGAAGGGUGAGAAUCCCUUCCACCGAAUAUCUAAGGUUUCCUGAGGAAGGCUCGUCCGCUCAGGGUUAGUCGGGACCUAAGCCGAGGCCGAUAGGCGUAGGCGAUGGACAACAGGUAGAGAUUCCUGUACCAGUGCUAAUUGUUUAACCGAUGGGGUGACACAGAAGGAUAGGGAAUCGCACGAAUGGAAAUGUGCGUCCAAGCAGUGAGUGUGAG
RNAcentral lists this ribosomal RNA (357 nucleotides) under Listeria monocytogenes. RNAcentral describes it as "partial 23S ribosomal RNA". It matches the Rfam family "Bacterial large subunit ribosomal RNA", at positions 1173 to 1529 of the family's 2925-position model. The record is from RNAcentral. Lineage: Bacteria; Bacillati; Bacillota; Bacilli; Caryophanales; Listeriaceae.